CCUCGAUUCGCGGACAAUGCCCGCAGAGGAACGCCCGUGUUCAUUACUGUGACUAAAAAGUGCGACCAAAGCAGUCCAACGACAUGAAUUAGAAAGCAUGGGAUAACAAAGGAGCAGCCUUCGGCUACCGUUUCGGCUUUUGUUGGUAUUGACAGUCUAUAGGAGACUAUGGACGGCGUGACCGGUGAAGGGAUUUUCCCAACAUCUCCUGCUGCUUCGGUAUCAGGCUUCGCCGUUCGGAAUGAAGGAGGGUUGGCUCGGGGGAAAACGUACUUGAGUGUGAGAGGUGAAAUUCUUGACCACUCAAAGACGAACUACAGCGAAGGCAUUUUCCAAGGAUACCUUCCUCAAUCGGAACCAAAGUGUGGAGAUCGAAGAUGAUUAGAUACCAUUGUAGUCC
This 400-nucleotide ribosomal RNA is filed under the name uncultured kinetoplastid. Its description in RNAcentral is "SSU rRNA". It matches the Rfam family "Eukaryotic small subunit ribosomal RNA", at positions 709 to 1026 of the family's 1831-position model. Lineage: Eukaryota; Euglenozoa; Kinetoplastea. The record is from RNAcentral.